CGCCCUUAGAGUUUGAUCCUGGCUCAGAAUGAACGCUGGCGGCAUGGAUUAGGCAUGCAAGUCGAACGGGUUCCCUCGGGAACUAGUGGCGUAAGGGUGAGUAACACGUGAGUAACCUGCCCCUGAAUCUGGAAUAAACCAGGGAAACUUGGUCUAAAACCGGAUGUCGGCACCACACCUCCUGGUGUUUUGCUGAAAAAUUCAUUGCUUGAGGAUGGGCUCGCGUACCAUUAGCUAGUUGGUGUGGUAACGGCAUACCAAGGCUACGAUGGUUAGGUGGAUUGAGAGAUCGGUCACCCACACUGGGACUGAGACACUGCCCAGACUCCUACGGGAGGCUGCAGUCGAGAAUCUUCCGCAAUGCGCGAAAGCGUGACGGAGCAAUGCCGCGUGGUGGAUGAAGGCCUUAGGGUUGUAAACACCUGUCACAUGGGACGAAUAAUUUGACGGUACCAUGAGAGGAAGCCACGGCUAACUACGUGCCAGCAGCCGCGGUAAUACGUAGGUGGCGAGCGUUGUUCGGAUUUAUUGGGCGUAAAGGGUCCGCAGGGGGUUUAUCAAGUCUGAUGUGAAAUCCCAAGGCUCAACCUUGGAACUGCAUCGGGUACGGGCGAACUAGAGUUCUUGAUGGGAAAGCGGAAUUCCAGGUGUAGCGGUGGAAUGCGUAGAUAUCUGGAAGAACACCGAUGGCGAAGGCGGUCUGCUGGCCUGCAACUGACCCUCAGGGACGAGAGCGGGGGGAGCGAACAGGAUUAGAUACCCUGGUAGUCCCGACCGUAAACGGUGUACACUUGGGGUUGGGGGAUUUCACCCCUCCAGUCCCGGAGCUAACGCGUUAAGUGUACCGCCUGGGGAGUACGGCCGCAAGGUUAAAACUCAAAGAAAUUGACGGGGGCCCGCACAAGCAGAGGAGCAUGUGGCUUAAUUCGAUGCAACGCGAAGAACCUUACCCAGGUUUGACAUAUAACUGCAAAUCCCUGGAAACAGGGACUCCUUCGAGGGUGUUAUACAGGUGCUGCAUGGCUGUCGUCAGUUCGUGCCGUGAGGUGUUUGGUUAAGUCCAGCAACGAACGCAACCCCUAUGUUUAGUUGCCAGCGGGUAAUGCCGGGAACUCUAGACAGACUGCCCGUUCACACGGGAGGAAGGUGGGGACGACGUCAAGUCAGUAUGGCCCUUACAUCUGGGGCUGCACACGUGCUACAAUGGCAGGUACAAUAGGAAGCAAUACCGCGAGGUGGAGCCAAUCCCCAAAACCUGCCCCAGUUCGGAUUGUGGUCUGCAACCCGACCACAUGAAGUUGGAUUUGCUAGUAACGGCGUAUCAGCUACGGCGCCGUGAAUACGUUCCCGGGCCUUGUACACACCGCC
This 1368-nucleotide ribosomal RNA is filed under the name uncultured prokaryote. RNAcentral describes it as "partial 16S ribosomal RNA". It matches the Rfam family "Bacterial small subunit ribosomal RNA". The record is from RNAcentral.